Oncorhynchus kisutch (coho salmon) is the source of this 134-nucleotide small nucleolar RNA. Lineage: Eukaryota; Metazoa; Chordata; Actinopteri; Salmoniformes; Salmonidae. The record is from Ensembl.
GCUGCCACUAGAGGCGAUGCAGCGUGACAUCACCGUGUUGUGUCUGUCUGUCAUUAGCUGGCUGAGAGAAAGGCGCCACGUGUCACCAAGUUGUCCUAGCACUGUGGGCACUUUGAGUUUUGUGGCACAACAUG